RNAcentral lists this unclassified non-coding RNA (342 nucleotides) under soil metagenome. Its description in RNAcentral is "partial contains 5.8S ribosomal RNA, internal transcribed spacer 2, and large subunit ribosomal RNA". The stretch from base 1 to 120 matches the Rfam family "5.8S ribosomal RNA", at positions 35 to 154 of the family's 154-position model. The record is from RNAcentral.
GAUCAAGAACGUAGCGAAAUGCGAUAAGUAAUGUGAAUUGCAGAAUUCAGUGAAUCAUCGAAUCUUUGAACGCACAUUGCGCCCGCCAGCACUCUGGCGGGCAUGCCUGUUCGAGCGUCAUUUCAACCAUCAAGCCCCCAGGGGCUUGUGCUGGGGCCCUGCGGCUGCCCGCAGGCCCUGAAAACCAGUGGCGGGCUCGCUAGUCACACCGAGCGCAGUAGCACAUCUCGCUCAGGGCGUGCGGCGGGCUCCUGCCGUGAAACCCCCCACUGUAACCCCAAAGGUUGACCUCGGAUCAGGUAGGAAUACCCGCUGAACUUAAGCAUAUCAAUAAGCGGAGGA